UGGGGAAUUUUGGACAAUGGACGCAAGUCUGAUCCAGCCAUGCCGCGUGCGGGAAGAAGGCCUUCGGGUUGUAAACCGCUUUUGUCAGGGAAGAAACGAGUUUCUCUAAUACAGAGACUUAAUGUCGGUACCUUAAUAAUAAGCACCGGCUAACUACGUGCCGGCAGCCGCGGUAAUACGUAGGGUGCAAGCGUUAAUCGGAAUUACUGGGCGUAAAGCGUGCGCAGGCGGUUAUGCAAGACAGAGGUGAAAUCCCCGGGCUCAACCUGGGAACUGCCUUUGUAGCUGCAUAGCUAGAGUAUGGUAGAAGAGAAUGGAAAUCAGCGUGUAGCAGUGAAAUGCGUAGAUAUGAGAAGGAACACCAAUGGCAAAGGCAAUCCCAUGGACCUAUAAUGACGCUCAUGAACGAAAGCGUGGAGGGCAAACA
This 427-nucleotide ribosomal RNA is filed under the name uncultured bacterium. RNAcentral describes it as "bacterial SSU rRNA". It matches the Rfam family "Bacterial small subunit ribosomal RNA", at positions 355 to 774 of the family's 1533-position model. The record is from RNAcentral.